AUGAACGCUGGCGGCGUGCCUAAUACAUGCAAGUCGAGCGAACAGAUGAGGAGCUUGCUCCUCUGACGUUAGCGGCGGACGGGUGAGUGACACGUGGAUAACCUACCUAUAAGACUGGGAUAACUUCGGGAAACCGGAGCUAAUACCGGAUAAUAUAUUGAACCGCAUGGUUCAAUAGUGAAAGACGGUUUUGCUGUCACUUAUAGAUGGAUCCGCGCCGCAUUAGCUAGUUGGUAAGGUAACGGCUUACCAAGGCGACGAUGCGUAGCCGACCUGAGAGGGUGAUCGGCCACACUGGAACUGAGACACGGUCCAGACUCCUACGGGAGGCAGCAGUAGGGAAUCUUCCGCAAUGGGCGAAAGCCUGACGGAGCAACGCCGCGUGAGUGAUGAAGGUCUUCGGAUCGUAAAACUCUGUUAUUAGGGAAGAACAAAUGUGUAAGUAACUAUGCACGUCUUGACGGUACCUAAUCAGAAAGCCACGGCUAACUACGUG
This 496-nucleotide ribosomal RNA is filed under the name uncultured bacterium. RNAcentral's name for it is "partial 16S ribosomal RNA". It matches the Rfam family "Bacterial small subunit ribosomal RNA", at positions 29 to 507 of the family's 1533-position model. The record is from RNAcentral.